RNAcentral lists this ribosomal RNA (429 nucleotides) under Gemmatimonadota bacterium. RNAcentral's name for it is "Gemmatimonadetes bacterium partial 16S ribosomal RNA". It matches the Rfam family "Bacterial small subunit ribosomal RNA", at positions 355 to 776 of the family's 1533-position model. Lineage: Bacteria; Pseudomonadati; Gemmatimonadota. The record is from RNAcentral.
UAGGGAAUCUUCGGCAAUGGACGAAAGUCUGACCGAGCAACGCCGCGUGAGUGAAGAAGGUUUCCGGAUCGUAAAACUCUGUUGUUAGAGAAGAACAAGGACGUUAGUAACUGAACGUCCCCUGACGGUAUCUAACCAGAAAGCCACGGCUAACUACGUGCCAGCAGCCGCGGUAAUACGUAGGUGGCAAGCGUUGUCCGGAUUUAUUGGGCGUAAAGCGAGCGCAGGCGGUUUCUUAAGUCUGAUGUGAAAGCCCCCGGCUCAACCGGGGAGGGUCAUUGGAAGCUGGGAGACUUGAGUGCAGAAGAGGAGAGUGGAAUUCCAUGUGUAGCGGUGAAAUGCGUAGAUAUAUGGAGGAACGCCAGUGGCGAAGGCGGCUCUCUGGUCUGUAACUGACGCUGAGGCUCGAAAGCGUGGGGAGCAAACAGG